GCCCAGGUGGCUCAGCGGUAUAGCGCCUGCCUUCGGCCCAGGGGCGUGAUCCUGGAGACCCGGGAUCAAGUCCCACCUUGGGCU
Molecule: transfer RNA, 84 nt
Filed under: Canis lupus familiaris (dog)
Lineage: Eukaryota; Metazoa; Chordata; Mammalia; Carnivora; Canidae
Also listed under: 1 other name
Rfam family: tRNA
About the family: Transfer RNA (tRNA) molecules are approximately 80 nucleotides in length.
Source: Rfam by way of RNAcentral